RNAcentral lists this unclassified non-coding RNA (404 nucleotides) under soil metagenome. Its description in RNAcentral is "partial contains 5.8S ribosomal RNA, internal transcribed spacer 2, and large subunit ribosomal RNA". The stretch from base 1 to 121 matches the Rfam family "5.8S ribosomal RNA", at positions 35 to 154 of the family's 154-position model. The record is from RNAcentral.
GAUGAAGAACGUAGCGAAAUGCGAUAAGUAAUGUGAAUUGCAGAAUUCAGUGUAUCAUCGAAUCUUUGAACGCACCUUGCGCCCUUUAGCCAUUCCGAAGGGCAUGCCUGUUUGAGUAUCAUGAACACCUCAACUCCUCAUGGUCUUCUAUGAUGAGCUUGGACUUUGGGGGCUUGCUGGCCCAUUUGGUCAGCUCCUCUCAAAUGAAUCAGCCUACCAGUGUUUGGUGGCACCACAGGUGUGAUAACAAUCUACGCUUGAGGUUUUCCACCAGGCAACCUUCAGUAAUUGGGGUUCACUGGGGCUCACAAAUGUCUUUCUUCAGUGAGGACAGCUCUUUGAAUGUUUGAUCUCAAAUCAGGUAGGACUACCCGCUGAACUUAAGCAUAUCAAUAAGCGGAGGA